Molecule: ribosomal RNA, 464 nt
Filed under: Himeunka tateyamaella
Lineage: Eukaryota; Metazoa; Arthropoda; Insecta; Hemiptera; Delphacidae
Description: partial 16S ribosomal RNA
Source: RNAcentral
UUUAAAUAGCUGCAGUAUUUUAACUGUACAAAGGUAGCGUAGUAAUUAGUCUUUUAAUUGGGGUCUUGAAUGAAUGGUUUGACAAGAAAAGCGCUUUAUUGUGAUAAUUAAAUAAAUUUUAUUUUUUAGUUAAAAAGCUAAAAUUAUUAAAUGGGACGAUAAGACCCUAUAGAUCUUAAAUUUUUUUUUAAAAUAUACAUUUUAGUGUAAUUGAUUUUUUUUAACAAAAAUUUUUUGUUGGGGUGACAUACAAAAUUUAAAAACUUUGUAAUAGAUUUACAUACGUAAAUGUUUAAUUGAACCUAAAUUUUAGGUUGUUAAAAUAAGAUACCUUAGGGAUAACAGCGUAAUAAAUUUGUAAAGUUCAUAUAGAUAAAUUUGUUUACGACCUCGAUGUUGAAUUAAUUAAAAGUUUUGGAGCAGAAUAUAAAAUUUUGGGUCUGUUCGACCUUUAAAAAAUUACA